UUGAUUCGUUGCCCUCUGCUG
Molecule: non-coding RNA, 21 nt
Filed under: Arabidopsis thaliana (thale cress)
Lineage: Eukaryota; Viridiplantae; Streptophyta; Magnoliopsida; Brassicales; Brassicaceae
Source: RNAcentral